CCUACGGGUGGCAGCAGUAGGGAAUCUUCCACAAUGGGCGAAAGCCUGAUGGAGCAACGCCGCGUGGGUGAAGAAGGUCUUCGGAUCGUAAAACCCUGUUGUUAGAGAAGAAAGAGCGUGAGAGUAACUGUUCACGUUUCGACGGUAUCUAACAAGAUAGCCUCGGUUAAUUACGUGCCAGCAGCAGCGGUAAUACGUAGGUGGCAAGCGUUAUCCGGAGUUAUUGGGCGUAAAGGGAACGCAGGGGGUCUUUUAAGUCUGAUGUGAAAGCCUUCGGCUUAACCGGAGUAGUGCAUUGGAAACUGGGAGACUAGAGUGCAGAAGAGGAGAGUGGAACUACAUGUGUAGCGGUGAAAGGCGUAGAUAUAUGGAAGAACACCAGUGGCGAAAGCGGCUCUCUGGUCUGUAACUGACGCUGAGGUUCGAAAGCGUGGGUAGCAAACAGGAUUAGAUACCCGGGUAGUC
This 465-nucleotide ribosomal RNA is filed under the name uncultured bacterium. RNAcentral describes it as "partial 16S ribosomal RNA". It matches the Rfam family "Bacterial small subunit ribosomal RNA", at positions 338 to 795 of the family's 1533-position model. The record is from RNAcentral.